This 448-nucleotide ribosomal RNA is filed under the name uncultured bacterium. RNAcentral describes it as "partial 16S ribosomal RNA". It matches the Rfam family "Bacterial small subunit ribosomal RNA", at positions 330 to 794 of the family's 1533-position model. The record is from RNAcentral.
CCCAGACUCCUACGGGAGGCAGCAGUGGGGGAUAUUGCACAAUGGGGGGAACCCUGAUGCAGCGACGCCGCGUGGGUGAAGGAGCGUUUCGGCGCGUAAAGCCCUAUCGGCAGGGAAGAAGGAGGACGGUACCUGACUAAGAAGCCCCGGCUAACUACGUGCCAGCAGCCGCGGUAAUACGUAGGGGGCAAGCGUUAUCCGGAUUUACUGGGUGUAAAGGGGGCGCAGACGGCAGCGCAAGCCAGGAGUGAAAGCCCGGGGCCCAACCCCGGGACUGCUCUUGGAACUGCGCGGCUGGAGUGCAGGAGGGGCAGGCGGAAUUCCUGGUGUAGCGGUGAAAUGCGUAGAUAUCAGGAGGAACACCGGUGGCGAAGGCGGCCUGCUGGACUGCGACUGACGUUGAGGCCCGAAAGCGUGGGGAGCAAACAGGAUUAGAUACCCGCGUAUU